Molecule: ribosomal RNA, 403 nt
Filed under: uncultured bacterium
Lineage: Bacteria
Description: partial 16S ribosomal RNA
Rfam family: Bacterial small subunit ribosomal RNA
Source: RNAcentral
AUUGAACGCUGGCGGCAGGCCUAACACAUGCAAGUCGAGCGAGCGGCGGACGGGUGAGUAAUGUAUGGGGACUGCCCGAUAGCGGGGGAUAACUACUGGAAAAGGUGGCUAAUACCGCAUACUAUCGGAUAACCCAUAUUGGAUUAGCUAGUAGGUGGGGUAAAGGCUCACCUAGGCGACGAUCCCUAGCUGGUCUGAGAGGAUGAUCAGCCACACUGGGACUGAGACACGGCCCAGACUCCUACGGAGGCAGCAGUGGGGAAUAUUGCACAAUGGGCGAAAGCCUGAUGCAGCCAUGCCGCGUGUAUGAAGAAGGCCUUAGGGUUGUAAAGUACUUUCGGCGGAGAAGCGGUACCCGCAGAAGAAGCACCGGCUAACUCCGUGCCAGCAGCCGCGGUAAUAC